CACGUAGGGCGCAAGCGUUGUCCGGAAUUAUUGGGCGUAAAGAGCUCGUAGGCGGUCUGUUGCGUCUGCUGUGAAAACUCGGGGCUUAACCCCGAGCCUGCAGUGGAUACGGGCAGACUAGAGGUAGGUAGGGGAGAAUGGAAUUCCCGGUGUAGCGGUGAAAUGCGCAGAUAUCGGGAGGAACACCGGUGGCGAAGGCGGUUCUCUGGGCCUUACCUGACGCUGAGGAGCGAAAGCGUGGGGAGCAAACAGG
RNAcentral lists this ribosomal RNA (253 nucleotides) under uncultured bacterium. RNAcentral describes it as "partial 16S ribosomal RNA". It matches the Rfam family "Bacterial small subunit ribosomal RNA", at positions 524 to 776 of the family's 1533-position model. The record is from RNAcentral.